UACAGAGGGGGCAAGCGUUAUUCGGAAUUAUUGGGCGUAAAGGGCGCGUAGGCGGCUUUGCAAGUGACGGGUGAAAGCCCUCGGCUUAACCGAGGAACUGCCUGUCAGACUGUGAGGCUUGAGACCAGGAGAGGUGAGUGGAAUUCCCAGUGUAGCGGUGAAAUGCGUAGAUAUUGGGAGGAACACCAGUGGCGAAGGCGGCAUCCUGGACCAACACUGACACUGAGGAGCGAAAGCCAGGGGAGCAAACGGG
RNAcentral lists this ribosomal RNA (253 nucleotides) under uncultured bacterium. RNAcentral describes it as "partial 16S ribosomal RNA". It matches the Rfam family "Bacterial small subunit ribosomal RNA", at positions 524 to 776 of the family's 1533-position model. The record is from RNAcentral.